Mytilus californianus (California mussel) is the source of this 1926-nucleotide long non-coding RNA. RefSeq lists it as uncharacterized. The transcript has 2 exons. Lineage: Eukaryota; Metazoa; Mollusca; Bivalvia; Mytilida; Mytilidae. The record is from RefSeq and is a predicted model, not a curated record.
GUAUAGCCCUUUCCGAUAACUAGGUUAUCUUUCCUGAAAUUUGGAACUCUCCUGUGAAAGGAGAUAGUGGUAAAAGUACUUCCGGUAGGUACCCGGCAAAUUGAAACGUAACUGGUUGCACGGCAGAUAAAGUCAGAAUAUAGCGAGAUAUAGUCAUGGGAAAACUAUAUUGUUGUGCUACAAAUUGUCAUAACUAUAGUGGCAAAAGCGUAAAUGGCAAUACUGUGACUUUACAUAGGUUUCCUGUACACAGAAGACACAAAUCUAUAUGGCAAUGCCGUGUCAGUCGCAAACAAUGGAAGCCAACAAGUUGUUCCAGACUUUGUUCAGAGCAUUUCAUAACCAAGAGAGGUCCAACAAAAGAUCAUCCAUUGCCUUCAAUAUUUGACCACAAGAUAUUUAAGACAACAAACUUUGAUUCAUCUUUUAAAGAAUUUGAAGAAAACAAGGAUUGUACUGAAUAUGAAGCAGAUCAUGAUAUCAUUUGUGAUGGAAACGAAGAGGCAAAUAAUGACCUAGCUGAUGACCCAAGUAAACAUUUUUUCACUGUUGACAAUCCUUCUACUAUAAAUACUUCUGUCAUGUUGAACGAUUACUGUGGUUAUAUUGAUCCGUCACAUAUCAGCUCUAAACUUAAUCAGGAAACACAAUGCGAAAAUACAUGUACUGGUAUUUUAAAUGACACUAGUUCACAGACUGAUACUUUAACAACAGAAAAAGAAAACAAACCUUAUAUACUGUAUUCCCUAUCACGGAUGCUGAAGUUAACACUACACUGCCAUUUUUAGCUAUUGAAGAUCUCAGUAGUGAGGAAGUAACAUUUUAUACAGGUUUACCUUAUAAGCCGACAUUUUAUUUAUUGUAUGAACAUAUAAUGUCAAAUAGAAAAACUGUUGACCCAGAAACUGGAGGUAGACCUCAAAAACUUAGAGGUGUAGAUGAAUUUUUUAUGGUUCUUAUGAGAUUGCGUCUGGGUUUACUUACUCAGGAUUUGGCACGCCGUUUUAAUGUUUCAGUUUCAACUUGUAGUAAAAUAUUUAACAAAUGGAUUGACCUGAUGUAUGAACAUUUAAAUUUCCUUGUUGCCUGGCCUGAUAGAGAAACUGUCAAAUGUAAUAUGCCUGACAGUUUUAAAAGGAGGUAUCCAAAUUGUCGUGUAAUUGUAGAUUGUACUGAAAUAUUCACAGAAACGCCACAGUCAUUAUCUAAUAAAGGAAGAAUGUAUUCUGACUACAAGUCACAUAUGACAUGGAAAGUUUUAAUAGGAAUAAGCCCGAAUGGUGUGAUUACUCAUGUAUCUGACCUUUGGUCAGGUAGUAUAUCAGAUAAACAAAUAACAAAAUCUAGUGGUCUUAUUGACAAGUGUGAACCAGGUGAUGCAAUAAUGGGGGAUAAAGGAUUUCUUAUUUCUGACAUGUGUACUCCGAAAGGAAUUUAUCUCAUAGUACCACCAACCAAAAAAAAUGGCAAAUUGACAAAACAUGAAGUUGAAAAAACAAGGAGGAUAGCUAAUCUUAGAAUACAUGUGGAGCGUGCCAUGGAAAGAAUUAAAAACUUUCGUAUUAUACAAGGAGUUAUGCCAAUUUCUAUGUCAGAAAAAGUAUCAAAGAUUGUAUUUAUUGUUUGUGCUCUUUGCAAUUUGCUUCCACCUCUUAUUCAACAAUAAGUUAUAAUUGUUUCACUUUGUAAAUACAAUCAUUGUCACACGAUUGUUUAGCAUUGAUAAGGAUUAUGUAGUCAAACAGUUUUCACUCUGUCCUUCUGUCUGUCAACAAUUUUCGAAAACACAAAAACUCCAAAAGUAUAUAUUAAUGUUUAUUUAUGACCCCAAAUGAAAUUUUUGUUGUUUACAUAUGUAUAAUAAGCAUGAUUAACAAGGAAUAAAUUAAUUUCAACAUGAUACAAUUAAACGUUUUUCAGCAUGGA